Molecule: RNA transcript, 2156 nt
Organism: Piliocolobus tephrosceles (Ugandan red Colobus)
Lineage: Eukaryota; Metazoa; Chordata; Mammalia; Primates; Cercopithecidae
Gene name: coiled-coil domain-containing protein 74B-like
Exons: 8
Source: RefSeq, a predicted model, not a curated record
AGUAGAGUCGGGGUUUCGCCAUGUUGGUCAGGCUGGUCACGAACUCCUGACCUCAAGUGAUCCGUCCGCCUCGGCCUCCCCAAGUUCGGGGGUUACAGGCGUGCGCCCCCGCGCCUGACCCUGGACGUCUUGGAGGUCUCUCCUCACCCAGGAGGAGCAGCGACAGGCCCCGCCCACGCCAACCGCCUCGGCCUCCGUUGCCCGUUUCCAUGGUGACGGGCGCCAGGCUGGGGCUGCCCCGCCACCGAGCCGGGGUGCAGCGGCCGCGGGAAGGUUCCUGGCGAUGGCGAGAUGAGCGUCGCGGGGGUGGUGGCUGGGACGCGCCCCCCCAGCUCGCCGACCCCGGGAUCCCGGCCCCGGCGCCAGCGCCCCUCCGUGGGCGUCCAGUCCCUGAGGCCGCAGAGCCCGCAGCUCAGGCUGAGCGACCCGCAGAAACGGAACCUGGACCUGGAGAAGAGCCUGCAGUUCCUGCAGCAGCAGCACUCGGAGAUGCUGGCCAAGCUCCACGAGGAGAUCGAGCACCUGAAGCGGGAGAACAAGGAUCUCCAUUACAAGCUCAUAAUGAAUCAGACAUCACAGAAGAAAGAUGGCCCCUCAGGAAACCACCUUUCCGGGGCCUCUGCUCCCUCGGGUGCUUUCUGGGUCUGCGUCCGCGGAGUGUGGGUAGAGCCGGGAGGACACAGCCCUGCCAGGCUGAAGGAGGGCCCCUCACGGACACACAGGCCAGGAGGCAAGCAUGGGCGUCUUGCGGGCGGCAGCACCGACACUGCGCUCUCCUGCAGACAGCCUGUCCACGUCAAGCUUCCAGUCUGUCAAGUCCAUCUCUAACUCAGGCAAGGCCAGGCCCCAGCCCAGCUCCUUCAACAAGCAAGAUUCGAAAGCUGACGCCCCCCAGAAGGCAGACCUGGAAGAGGAGCCCCUACUUCACAACAGCAAGCUAGACAAGGUUCCUGGGGUACAAGGGCAGGCCAGAAAGGAGAAAGCAGAGGCCUCUAACGCAGGAGCAGCCUGUAUGGGGAGCAGCCGGCACCAGGGCAGGCAGAUGAUGGGGGCGGGGGCACACCCCCCCAAUGACCCUGCCCCUUCACCUGCGAAAACCCACCACACUGAAGCAGUGCGAAGUGCUCAUCCGCGAGCUGUGGAACACCAACCUCCUGCAGACCCAGGAGCUGCAGCACCUCAGGUCCCUCCUGGAAGGCAGCCAGAGGCCCCAGGUGGCCCCAGAGGAGGCUGGGUCUAGCUUUCCCAGGGACCAGGAAGUCAUGCAUUUUCCUAAGGUCUCCACGAAGGGCCUCUCGAAGACAUGCCUGCUUCUGAGCCCACCUGUGGCGCAGCGUGCCAUCCUACCUGCCCUGAAGCAGACCCCGAAGAACAACUUUGCCGAGAGGCAGAAGAGGCUGCAAGCAAUGCAGAAACGGCGCCUGCACCGCUCAGUGCUUUGAGCCACCCACAUCUGGUCAGUGGCAGGCCCACCAACCUGCAGCUGGAGACUGGUUCUCUAUAGCAUUUCCUGAUACUUCCACUACUUUUAGGCCUGGCUAAAUUCCAAAAUAGAUGACACUUAAAAUAGAUAAAGUACUUGAUCUCUAAACUAACAAACCAUUUAUUUUCUGUUAUUUUGCUAUUUAGCAUUUACAUAAAAAGCACAUGAUGAAGUAGGUAUCGCUUUAUCUGUUGAAACUGAAAAUAAAGCUUGUUUAUUUCCAAGCUGUGUGCCUGGUUCCUCACUGGCUAUCAGGCGUCGUGUCCCUUCCCAUUCCCAGCCCCUGGCUCCUAGCCCAGCCCCUGCUGUCUGCAGAGACCUGCCUGGGCAGCCCAGUCUUGCUCAUCCCGGGACCUGCCAGCGGCCCUGGGAGAGGCGCAUUGGCAGAGCCGGGCACAUCCUCCCUGGAGGCAGGAGGGCUUUUCUGGUGCCCUGGCUGGGCUGGAGCUGCGUUCCAAACACAUGAUCACUCUGGGUCUCCUGCCCAGACUACACGCUCCUGGGGGCAAGAGGCUGUCCUCUCCUGCCCUGACACAGCACCGCAAAGAGGUCCAGCCAGGCUGGCCCUCCUCCUUGGCCGUCUCCAGAAUGGUGUGGACAUGCCCGCACCACCCCUUCCACCACAGCACAGCCAUGCCCGCCGUCGGGGGUGGGGUGGCCAGCUUAGUGCCCA